This 584-nucleotide ribosomal RNA is filed under the name uncultured Malassezia. RNAcentral describes it as "LSU rRNA". It matches the Rfam family "Eukaryotic large subunit ribosomal RNA", at positions 66 to 635 of the family's 3401-position model. The record is from RNAcentral. Lineage: Eukaryota; Fungi; Basidiomycota; Malasseziomycetes; Malasseziales; Malasseziaceae.
UAACAAGGAUUCCCCUAGUAACGGCGAGCGAAGCGGGAAGAGCUCAAAUUUGAAAGCUGGCACCUCCGGUGUCCGCGUUGUAAUCUCGAGACGUGUUUUCCGUGCGGCUCUAUGGACAAGUCCCUUGGAAUAGGGCACCGUAGAGGGUGAGAAUCCCGUACUUGCCAUGGAAGAACCGUGCUUUGCGAUACACGCUCUAAGAGUCGAGUUGUUUGGGAUUGCAGCUCAAAAUGGGUGGUAGACUCCAUCUAAAGCUAAAUAUCGGGGAGAGACCGAUAGCGAACAAGUACCGUGAGGGAAAGAUGAAAAGCACUUUGGAAAGAGAGUUAAAAGUGCGUGAAAUUGUCGAAAGGGAAGCACUUGAAGUCAGCCAUGCUGCUUGAGACUCAGCCUGGCCUUUGGGCUUGGUGUAUUUCUCGGUGGCAAGCCAGCAUUGGUUUGGGUCGUCGGAGAAGCGCAUAGGGAAUGUAGCGUCCCCGGACGUGUUAUAGCCUUAUGCAGGAUACGACGACCUGGAUCAAGGAACGCAGUGUGCCCUCUGGGCGGGUCUUCGGACACCUUCACACUUAGGAUGCUGGCGUAAU